Long non-coding RNA from Ornithodoros turicata, 284 nucleotides. RefSeq lists it as uncharacterized. The transcript is spliced from 4 exons. NCBI's taxonomy places the organism in Eukaryota, Metazoa, Arthropoda, Arachnida, Ixodida, Argasidae. The record is from RefSeq and is a predicted model, not a curated record.
CUGGAAUGACGUGCCUCUAACUGGGACUUAGCCUGAUUGAGAAAAAAAGCCCCUCCAUCCAUGAGAAUGAGCUGACUGCUGGAAUGACGUGCCUCUAACUGGAACUUAGCCUGAUUGAGAAAAAAAGCCCCUCCAUCCAUGAGAAUGAGCUGACUGCUGCCAUGACAUGUGCCUCUAACUGGAACUUAGCCUGAUUGAGAAAAAAAGCCCCUCCAUCCAUGAGAAUGAGCUGACUGCUGGAAUGACGUGCCUCUAACUGGAACUUAGCCUGAUUGAGAAAAAAA